RNAcentral lists this ribosomal RNA (214 nucleotides) under Orbiliaceae sp. Its description in RNAcentral is "partial large subunit ribosomal RNA". Lineage: Eukaryota; Fungi; Ascomycota; Orbiliomycetes; Orbiliales; Orbiliaceae. The record is from RNAcentral.
AAGCGCUUGCGAUCAGACUCACCUGCGGUUGAUCAACGUUCCUUCUGGUUCGUGCACUCUGCCGUUUGUGGGCCAGCAUCGGUCGGCGCGGCGGGACAAAGGCAUCGGGAAUGUGGCUCUCUUCGGGGAGUGUUAUAGCCCGUUGUGCAAUGCCGCCAGCUGCCGGCCGAGGUCCGCGAUUCGUCUAGGAUGCUGGCUUAAUGGUCGUAAGCGA